This is a long non-coding RNA of Nicotiana tabacum (common tobacco), 893 nucleotides long. RefSeq lists it as uncharacterized. Lineage: Eukaryota; Viridiplantae; Streptophyta; Magnoliopsida; Solanales; Solanaceae. The record is from RefSeq and is a predicted model, not a curated record.
UUUCUGAUGGGGAGACACCAAAAAAGCUUCAGCACCUAAGACCUUAGAGACUAACGAAGGACCCCUGCUUCUUCAUCUUCAACCUUCAGCCAUCUCCACUGAUUUGCUUCAACCAAAAACACCCAAAACUGAAGAACCCCUCCAUAGCCGCCGCUGAUUCUGGACCUCACACCAAACGACCACCCCAUCUCCACCUCUUUCCGCCGCUAAUCCCAUUUUCUUCACCAAAUUAGCGAAAACAGACCCUUCUUCAUCGUCAACCAGAACACACCCAUCAGCAACCACCAACGAGUCCAGCCGCCCAAGCCACCUUAACUAACACCUUCAGUCAUCUUCUCCAAGCCGCCAGAAAACCAGCGAACUCGGAUCCUCCGUAAACCACCAAGGUUGAGUUUCUUCGGCGAGCUUAAAGGUUGUGAGUGGUCGCUGUUUGGAGCUCCGUUUCAGUUUCAUCCGAGGUUUAGUCGCGGUUCGAACACAUUCAACCAAAUUUGUCACGAGAUUUCUUCAAAAUCUCAAGAACACCCCAAAAGUUGGCUUUCAAGAUUUGAUCUACAAGAGGUGGUUCCGUAAUUGGUGGCUUAGGUUCUUGAUAGGUGUACCCUCUUCUCAGCUGAUUUGGUGAGCCUUAUUCUACUUCAGGGCCUUAUGUCCUUUUAUUUUGCAAAUUGUGUUUUGAGAAAUAGCCAGGGCCUAGUUGUCGGCAUUCCCAUAUUGUACCAUUUUCACUUAGAGGUUCCGUAGACGUAUUCUGGGUUGUGUUUUGACUUGAGAUCACAAACUAAUGAUUUUGUUGUAUUUGUCGAAUGUUCCACUUCAAUACCAUAAAUGUGUAAUAUUUUGGUAAUCAGAAAAUGAAGCUCUUAUAAAAACGAAAGUUGGUGUUGUACAUA